UACAGAGGUCCCGAGCGUUGUUCGGAUUCACUGGGCGUAAAGGGUGCGUAGGUGGCUUGAAAAGUUUGAUGUGAAAGCUCAGGGCUUAACCCUGAAAUGGCAUUGAAUACUGUCGGGCUGGAGGUUUGGAGGGGGGACUGGAAUUCUUGGUGUAGCAGUGAAAUGCGUAGAUAUCAAGAGGAACACCGAUGGCGAAGGCAGGUCUCUGGGCUGACACUGACGCUCAUGCACGAAAGCGUGGGGAGCAAACAGG
Molecule: ribosomal RNA, 253 nt
Filed under: uncultured bacterium
Lineage: Bacteria
Description: partial 16S ribosomal RNA
Rfam family: Bacterial small subunit ribosomal RNA
Source: RNAcentral